GUCGUGUACAGAUCUAGCUUGCUAGAUGCUGACGAGCGGCGGACGGGUGAGUAAUGCAUAGGAAUCUGCCCGGUAGUGGGGGAUAACCUGGGGAAACCCAGGCUAAUACCGCAUACGUCCUACGGGAGAAAGGGGGCUUCGGCUCCCGCUAUUGGAUGAGCCUAUGUCGGAUUAGCUAGUUGGUGAGGUAAAGGCUCACCAAGGCAACGAUCCGUAGCUGGUCUGAGAGGAUGAUCAGCCACAUCGGGACUGAGACACGGCCCGAACUCCUACGGGAGGCAGCAGUGGGGAAUAUUGGACAAUGGGGGCAACCCUGAUCCAGCCAUGCCGCGUGUGUGAAGAAGGCCCUCGGGUUGUAAAGCACUUUCAGCGAGGAAGAACGCCUAGUGGUUAAUACCCAUUAGGAAAGACAUCACUCGCAGAAGAAGCACCGGCUAACUCCGUGCCAGCAGCCGCGGUAAUACGGAGGGUGCAAGCGUUAAUCGGAAUUACUGGGCGUAAAGCGCGCGUAGGUGGCUUGAUAAGCCGGUUGUGAAAGCCCCGGGCUCAACCUGGGAACGGCAUCC
Molecule: ribosomal RNA, 566 nt
Filed under: Vreelandella boliviensis
Lineage: Bacteria; Pseudomonadati; Pseudomonadota; Gammaproteobacteria; Oceanospirillales; Halomonadaceae
Description: bacterial SSU rRNA
Rfam family: Bacterial small subunit ribosomal RNA
Source: RNAcentral